Molecule: ribosomal RNA, 498 nt
Filed under: uncultured bacterium
Lineage: Bacteria
Description: partial 16S ribosomal RNA
Rfam family: Bacterial small subunit ribosomal RNA
Source: RNAcentral
GUUGAACGCUGGCGGCAUGCUUUACACAUGCAAGUCGAACGGUAACAGGCCGCAAGGUGCUGACGAGUGGCGAACGGGUGAGUAAUGCAUCGGAACGUGCCCAGUCGUGGGGGAUAACGCAGCGAAAGCUGUGCUAAUACCGCAUACGAUCUAUGGAUUAAAGCGGGGGACCGUAAGGCCUCGAGCUAUUGGAGCGGCCGAUGUCAGAUUAGGUAGUUGGGGGGGUAAAGGCUCACCAAGCCGACGAUCUGUAGCUGGUCUGAGAGGAACACCGGCCAAAAUGGGACUGAGACACGGCCCGGAGUCCUACGGGCGGCAGCAGUGGGGAAUUUUGGACAAUGGGCGCAAGCCUGAUCCAGCAAUGCCGCGUGCAGGAAGAAGGCCUUCGGGUUGUAAACUGCUUUUGUACGGAGCGAAAAGGCUCCCUCUAAUACAGGGGGCUAAUGACGGUACCGUAAGAAUAAGCACCGGCUAACUACGUGCCAGCCGCCGCCGUAA